RNAcentral lists this ribosomal RNA (253 nucleotides) under uncultured bacterium. RNAcentral describes it as "partial 16S ribosomal RNA". It matches the Rfam family "Bacterial small subunit ribosomal RNA", at positions 524 to 776 of the family's 1533-position model. The record is from RNAcentral.
UACAGAGGUCUCAACCGUUGUUCGGAUUCAUUGGGCGUAAAGGGUGCGUAGGCGGCGCGGUAAGUCGGGUGUGAAAUCUCGGAGCUUAACUCCGAAACUGCAUUCGAUACUGCCGUGCUUGAGGACUGGAGAGGAGACUGGAAUUUACGGUGUAGCGGUGAAAUGCGUAGAUAUCUGGAGGAACACCGGUGGCGAAGGCGGCGUUCUGGACUGCAUCUGACACUGAAAGACGAAAGCCAGGGGAGCAAACGGG